GACGAACCGUGCGAACGUUAUUCGGAAUCACUGGGCUUAAAGGGUGCGUAGGCUGCGAGGAGGGUGGGGUGUGAAAUCCCUCGGCUUAACCGAGGAAUUGCGCUCCAAACCGCCUUGCUGGAGUGAGACAGAGGUGAGCGGAACUAAUGGUGGAGCGGUGAAAUGCGUUGAUAUCAUUAGGAACACCAGAGGCGAAGGCGGCUCACUGGGUCUCAACUGACGCUGAUGCACGAAAGCUAGGGUAGCGAACGGGAUUAGAUACCCCGGUAGUCCUAGCCGUAAACGAUGAGCACUAGACGGAGGAACUUUCCACAGUUUCUCGGUCGUAGCGAAAGUGUUAAGUGCUCCGCCUGGGGAGUAUGGUCGCAAGGCUGAA
Molecule: ribosomal RNA, 376 nt
Filed under: uncultured bacterium
Lineage: Bacteria
Description: bacterial SSU rRNA
Rfam family: Bacterial small subunit ribosomal RNA
Source: RNAcentral